UGGGGAAUUUUGGACAAUGGGCGCAAGCCUGAUCCAGCGAUGCCGCGUGCAGGAUGAAGGCCUUCGGGUUGUAAACUGCUUUUGUCAGGGAAGAAACGAGUUUCUCUAAUACAGAGACUUAAUGACGGUACCUGAAGAAUAAGCACCGGCUAACUACGUGCCAGCAGCCGCGGUAAUACGUAGGGUGCAAGCGUUAAUCGGAAUUACUGGGCGUAAAGCGUGCGCAGGCGGUUAUGCAAGACAGAUGUGAAAUCCCCGGGCUCAACCUGGGAACUGCAUUUGUGACUGCAUAGCUGGAGUGCGGCAGAGGGGGAUGGAAUUCCGCGUGUAGCAGUGAAGUGCGUAGAUAUGCGGAGGAACACCGAUGGCGAAGGCAAUCCCCUGGGCCUGCACUGACGCUCAUGCACGAAAGCGUGGGGAGCAAACA
Molecule: ribosomal RNA, 427 nt
Filed under: uncultured bacterium
Lineage: Bacteria
Description: bacterial SSU rRNA
Rfam family: Bacterial small subunit ribosomal RNA
Source: RNAcentral